Molecule: transfer RNA, 78 nt
Filed under: Bacillota bacterium
Lineage: Bacteria; Bacillati; Bacillota
Also listed under: 1 other name
Description: Firmicutes bacterium (anaerobic digester metagenome) tRNA-Asp
Rfam family: tRNA
About the family: Transfer RNA (tRNA) molecules are approximately 80 nucleotides in length. Their secondary structure includes four short double-helical elements and three loops (D, anti-codon, and T loops). Further hydrogen bonds mediate the characteristic L-shaped molecular structure. tRNAs have two regions of fundamental functional importance: the anti-codon, which is responsible for specific mRNA codon recognition, and the 3' end, to which the tRNAs corresponding amino acid is attached (by aminoacyl-tRNA synthetases). tRNAs cope with the degeneracy of the genetic code in two manners: having more than one tRNA (with a specific anti-codon) for a particular amino acid; and 'wobble' base-pairing, i.e. permitting non-standard base-pairing at the 3rd anti-codon position.
Source: RNAcentral
GGAACCGUGGUGUAGUUGGUCUAACACGCCGGCCUGUCACGCCGGAGAUCGCGGGUUCGAGUCCCGUCGGUUCCGCCA